RNA transcript from Micropterus salmoides (largemouth bass), 2634 nucleotides. It is a transcript of the gene named cell surface glycoprotein 1-like, with no coding region annotated. NCBI's taxonomy places the organism in Eukaryota, Metazoa, Chordata, Actinopteri, Centrarchiformes, Centrarchidae. The record is from RefSeq and is a predicted model, not a curated record.
GCAAACGGCAGGAGGCAGAAGUUGUCCCAGACCAGGAUUCAGCAGAUGAAGAAAGGUUCCUCUGGUCCUCCACACAGGAGUUCAGCCCUGAACCAGGGGAAUCCAGACAAGAGGAGGUUGAGGCGAGGGGAGACGGUGGAAGUCAGCAGCCCCUCAGCAAGCCUGGAGGCCGGGCCCCGGCUGAGAGAGCGGCCCCUGGGUCGCUGUCACACCCUGGACUCAGGAGAACAAACACCGGAGCAGCCGGAGCAGCCGGAGCAGCCGGAGCCGACGCAAACUCCCCAAACAACUCCGACGCCCGGGGUCGGUGCACAGCCUGACACCGACGAUACGCACUCCGCUGACGACUCUAACUGCAGCGGCGGCGGCGAGGCUUCCCCACCCUCGCCGUACAAUGUGCCUCCUACACACACCUCAACCAAUGACCGUGAGUCACGUGACCCCACCGAGCCGUCCGAGACCAGCCGUCAGAGUCCCUGCCCUCUAAAUGGAGAGCUGGAGUCGUCCGGCGACCGGACUCAUACCGAUAAGGAGGCUUUGCAGUCAGAAGGCGAAGACGGAGACUCCAGUCCCACCUGCCCCGCUGACCUCCACCCCACAAUCCAGGCUGACGGAGGCGAUCAGAGAGACGCCACCCAAACACCAGAGACGAGUCGAAUCACAGAGGCGGCGACUGAAAUGGAGGCGCUGUGAGGAUUUGUGAUGAUGGAGGAGUCGCACAAAAACUGAAAGUCUGCCAAAAGCUCUGCGUCCUUAAAACAGCAGCAUUUCACUGUGAGCGGUGAGCGGAUGUUGUGACGGUAACCUGAACGGACUUCCUGCAGUCUGAAGAGGUCUGCGGCCUCAGUGGCUCCUCCUCCUCCUCCUCUCGCCUGAGUUUAAAGCACUUUUUUCUUCUUCAAGCCUUCAAAAGAAAGAAAAAGGGAUGCAAAUGGACGUUAUUUUGGUUGUUGCUUUAGUUUUGUUUCGAGUGUCUCGACUGUAGCUGUGAUCCCGAGCAGCAGACUUCAUUUUUUGUUUUUCUUUUACUUGAAUACUAGAUGUUUGUUGGCUCUUCCUUCAGCACCGUAUUACUCCACUUAUAUUUUUAUUGGGAUAGUUUUAUGUUAUUUAUGACCUUAGUUGAUGGUCGUGUGUUCAGAGAGGUUCGGCUUCUCCUGAACGUUAGAAUGUGUUUUUUCUCCACAUAGAGCAAGUUAAAGGAUCGCAGAGCUGGUUUUUAUAGCCGUUAAUAGCAAAUCAUAUAUUUUACCACCCUGCUAUUUUCAAAAUCAUUUCCCUCCUUUCAACCAUUGAUUUUAGUUUAUUUCUGAGAGAAUCAGCUUGCGGAGACUUAAAACCUGCUGCAGGUAGAUGAGCCCUCACAGCCAGAGUUACAUUAUCACUGCAAGAGUAUAUUUAACACAGGAGUGUCCUGACCAAGAAAGCUGCACAUGGAACAAAUCGGUUAAAAAAUACCUGAUAAAAAUCAAAAGAAUACUAAAAGGUCACCAUAAUAAAAGAAAUUAAAUAGCCGUAAACAAUACCAACCCUUUAUGAUGCAUUCAAGGACACUGACAACAAAAAAUGACUAACGUAAUAUGAAAAAUGAUGAACGUGAACGAAAUGAACGUGUUUGUUUCAUCGCAUUUCAACGUGUUACUUUUCUGCAGUCUGCUCGGUCCAAGCAUCCUUGAACGCACCACGAAGGGAAAGUCUUAAAAACAGCCGCUGUAAAGAUUUUGACAAGUGACAAGAAAAGACUGGAGGAUAAUUUGUAUUAGCGAUUUAGUUUUUAAAGAAAAAUUAUUGUCCAAAAUAAAAAAGGUUCCCAGCAAAUUGUAGUUAACAAUAGAGAUUAAAAUUAUUAGCUGAUCAAUCAUUUAGUCGACCACCGGAAAAGAAGCGGCUGCUUUUCUCUGUUUUAUAAAAAUUUAAAAUGAAUAUCUGUACGUUUCAGACUGUUGAACAUAAAGUUUUUAUUUUGGGAUCUGGGAAAUUGUGAUGGACAUUUUUACUAUUUUCUGCCAUUUAAUAAACAAUUAAUUGAUUAAAAGAGAAAAUAAUUGGCAGAAGAAUUGAUAUUUAGUAUUUGAUUUUUAGUUAAAAACAAAUAAAUUAGAUGAACUUAGUUUUACAUGAAGCAGCUGGUCAGAUAUAAUGCAGAACAGUAAAAUGCAUUAAGUUGGUCAAUAUGAUGAUCUCACAUUCACUUUUAAGAUGGAGUAUUGAUUAUAUAAUUCAUUAUUGAUGGUUUCAAGUUGUUUUUUCUGAAAUGAACUGAACGCAUCGGCAGCCGGCAGGUAGAUCGAGCUGAUUAUGUAAAACAUACAGAAGUUAAUGAGCAAAAUAAAACAUGCAAAACCUCCAGUUUGGUCCUUUAACGUCAGAAGAUGUUUCAUCUUAUUUAAAACAGCUACGUUAGGAUAUACGAGCUGCAGUACUGUAAAGUGUCCCCAUCAGUGUUACUGUUCACACUAACGUCGCGUGUCCACUUCACGUAGUGUGUUUGAUUGCAGACCGUUUCGGUGAGGAUGAAGCUUCGGUUCAAACUGACCUCGACCUCUUUGGGCCUCUGUUCUUUGAGUGUUGGUCGGCGUUUGUUUCCACUCUCCUCCGAUGUGACAGGACUGACUGAGUCUUUGUGUUUCAGUG